RNAcentral lists this ribosomal RNA (398 nucleotides) under uncultured bacterium. Its description in RNAcentral is "bacterial SSU rRNA". It matches the Rfam family "Bacterial small subunit ribosomal RNA", at positions 359 to 773 of the family's 1533-position model. The record is from RNAcentral.
GAAUUUUGGGCAAUGGGCGAAAGCCUGACCCAGCAACGCCGCGUGAAGGAUGAAGUCUUUCGGGAUGUAAACUUCGUAAGAAUGGGAAGAAUAAAUGACGGUACCAUUUGUAAGGUCCGGCUAACUACGUGCCAGCAGCCGCGGUAAUACGUAGGGACCAAGCGUUGUUCGGAUUUACUGGGCGUAAAGGGCGCGUAGGCGGCAAUUCAAGUCAGCUGUGAAAUCUCCGAGCUUAACUCGGAACGGUCAGCUGAUACUGCUUUGCUAGAGUGCAGAAGGGGCAAUCGGAAUUCUUGGUGUAGCGGUGAAAUGCGUAGAUAUCAAGAGGAACACCUGAGGUGAAGACGGGUUGCUGGGCUGACACUGACGCUGAGUGCGCGAAAGCUAGGGUAGCAAAC